GUGGGAGGGGGCUUGCCCCCGAUGGCGGCGUGUCAGUCAACCCAUUUAUAACUGACCCACCGCUAUCGGGGGCAAGCCCCCUCCCAC
This 87-nucleotide non-coding RNA is filed under the name Pseudomonas sp. SJZ094. RNAcentral also lists the same sequence under 1 other name. Lineage: Bacteria; Pseudomonadati; Pseudomonadota; Gammaproteobacteria; Pseudomonadales; Pseudomonadaceae. The record is from RNAcentral.